UACGGGGGGAGCAAGCGUUGUUCGGAUUUACUGGGCGUAAAGGGCGCGUAGGCGGCGUGACAAGUCACUUGUGAAAUCUCCGGGCUUAACUCGGAGCGGCCAAGUGAUACUGUCGUGCUAGAGUGCGGAAGGGGCUACUGGAAUUCUCGGUGUAGCGGUGAAAUGCGUAGAUAUCCGGAGGAACACCAGUGGCGAAGGCGGCCGCCUGGACCUGACCUGACGCUGAGGCGCGAAGGCGUGGGGAGCGAACGGG
RNAcentral lists this ribosomal RNA (253 nucleotides) under uncultured bacterium. Its description in RNAcentral is "partial 16S ribosomal RNA". It matches the Rfam family "Bacterial small subunit ribosomal RNA", at positions 524 to 776 of the family's 1533-position model. The record is from RNAcentral.